UCAUUCCAAAUUGAUAGAACGUUAACAUACCUCCACUCAAAAUUAACUCAAACAGUAAGUAUAUGAGAGCCUCAAGUACAAGGGAUAAACACAUAAAUUGAACCUUACAUACAUGAAAACGAUUACUGCUGCUGAGUCGUUAGAAUUAUCCACCAAGGGAUUCAUGGAAUCUCUAUGGAUUGCAUUGGAGGAGAUCUACCAAAGCUAGGGAGAUAGAUAGACUCAUUUCCCGCUACCAUGGCUCUUGGCCCAGACAACGUCCUAGUCAUAGAAGAUCGCAGCAACGGGGAAUAUUGCCUGGACGACGUUUUCGUUUUUGGGCUGCAGUUUGUAGAUCGAGAGGUCGUUCUGCCCCUUGUCCCUGAAUAUGGAUAAUUGUUUCUCAAAAAAUCUCCUCUCCAAUCCUCGAUCCUUGCGUUCCCCGAGCUAGGGAUCACUCUCCUGGAAACAACCAUGUGAAUAAAGGCUAGCAAUCCAAUCCAAAAGAACCUAUUUCUUCCCCAACUCUUCGAUAGAAUAUUCAUAUGGUUCUCACGCGUAGUGUUUAAUAAAUGCUAUAGCCUCUAGGACUUAUUUAAUGUGUUUAUCUCUCCUCUUUGAAAUUUCAAGAACUUGAGGGAGUUUAUCAAUCUACCAAAUAUUGCCAAAUACUGAGUUAAUAUUAUAUUAUCUUAUUUAUUAGAGGUGUUCAAUCU
This is a long non-coding RNA of Carya illinoinensis, 695 nucleotides long. RefSeq lists it as uncharacterized. NCBI's taxonomy places the organism in Eukaryota, Viridiplantae, Streptophyta, Magnoliopsida, Fagales, Juglandaceae. The record is from RefSeq and is a predicted model, not a curated record. The transcript has 2 exons.